GAGUUUGAUCAUGGCUCAGAUUGAACGCUGGCGGCAUGCCUUACACAUGCAAGUCGAACGGCAGCACGGGAGCUUGCUCCUGGUGGCGAGUGGCGAACGGGUGAGUAAUGCCUAGGAAUCUGCCUGGUAGUGGGGGACAACGUUUCGAAAGGAACGCUAAUACCGCAUACGUCCUACGGGAGAAAGCAGGGGACCUUCGGGCCUUGCGCUAUCAGAUGAGCCUAGGUCGGAUUAGCUAGUUGGUGGGGUAAUGGCUCACCAAGGCGACGAUCCGUAACUGGUCUGAGAGGAUGAUCAGUCACACUGGAACUGAGACACGGUCCAGACUCCUACGGGAGGCAGCAGUGGGGAAUAUUGGACAAUGGGCGAAAGCCUGAUCCAGCCAUGCCGCGUGUGUGAAGAAGGUCUUCGGAUUGUAAAGCACUUUAAGUUGGGAGGAAGGGCAGUAAGUUAAUACCUUGCUGUUUUGACGUUACCGACAGAAUAAGCACCGGCUAACUCUGUGCCAGCCG
Molecule: ribosomal RNA, 512 nt
Filed under: bacterium enrichment culture clone OZDCA126
Lineage: Bacteria
Description: bacterial SSU rRNA
Rfam family: Bacterial small subunit ribosomal RNA
Source: RNAcentral